RNAcentral lists this ribosomal RNA (410 nucleotides) under Tetrablemma nandan. RNAcentral describes it as "partial 16S ribosomal RNA". It matches the Rfam family "Archaeal large subunit ribosomal RNA", at positions 1950 to 2670 of the family's 2987-position model. Lineage: Eukaryota; Metazoa; Arthropoda; Arachnida; Araneae; Tetrablemmidae. The record is from RNAcentral.
CCUGCUCAAUGAAUAUUAAAUAGCCGCAACAACCUGUGCUAAGGUAGCAUAAUCAUUAGCCACCUGAUUAGUGGAUAGUAUGAAAGACCCAACGAAUAGAAAAAAGUAUCCCACACCCAAAAUAAAACUACUAAAAGAGUAAAAAAGCUCCAACACACUCACAGGACGACAAGACCCUGUCAAACUUCACUCAAACAGUUAGACUGGGGCGGUCAUUAAAAAAACCUUAACACAACCACACACCAAAAACCUAAUACCUUAAUAUACCAAGUUACUGCAGGGAUAACAGUGCUACAGCUCACCAGAGCCCACAUCCAAUGAGCCACCUACAACCUCGAUGUUGAAUUAAUAACCUUACUCAGAGCAACCUCUAGUAAAGAAAAGUCCGUUCGACUAAUAAAAAAUUACAU